UCGUCAGCUCGUGUCGUGAGAUGUUGGGUUAAGUCCCGCAACGAGCGCAACCCUCGUCACAUGUUGCCAGCGGUUCGGCCGGGCACCCAUGCGAGACCGCCGGCGUCAAGCCGGAGGAAGGUGGGGACGACGUCAAGUCAUCAUGCCCCUUAUGUCCUGGGCUGCACACGUGCUACAAUGACCGGCACAAUGGGCUGCCACUGCGCGAGCAGGAGCGAAUCCCCAAAGCCGGCCCCAGUUCGGAUUGGAGGCUGCAACCCGCCUCCAUGAAGUCGGAGUUGCUAGUAAUCGCGGAUCAGCACGCCGCGGUGAAUGCGUUCCCGGGCCUUGUACACACCGCCCGUCACACCACCCGAGUCGUCUGCACCCGAAGUCGUCGGCCCAACCCGCAAGGGAGGGAGGCGCCGAAGGUGUGGAGGGUAAGGGGGGUGAAGUCGUAACAAGGUAGCCGUA
Molecule: ribosomal RNA, 453 nt
Filed under: uncultured bacterium
Lineage: Bacteria
Description: bacterial SSU rRNA
Rfam family: Bacterial small subunit ribosomal RNA
Source: RNAcentral